GAUGAAGAACUAGCGAAAUGCGAUAAGUAAUGUGAAUUGCAGAAUUCAGUGAAUCAUCGAAUCUUUGAACGCACAUUGCGCCCGCCAGUAUUCUGGCGGGCAUGCCUGUUCGAGCGUCAUUACAACCCUCAGGCCCCCGGGCCUGGCGUUGGGGAUCGGCGGAAGCCCCCUGCGGGCACAACGCCGUCCCCCAAAUACAGUGGCGGUCCCGCCGCAGCUUCCAUUGCGUAGUAGCUAACACCUCGCAACUGGAGAGCGGCGCGGCCACGCCGUAAAACACCCAACUUCUGAAUGUUGACCUCGAAUCAGGUAGGAAUACCCGCUGAACUUAAGCAUAUCAAUAAGCGGAGGA
Molecule: unclassified non-coding RNA, 352 nt
Filed under: soil metagenome
Description: partial contains 5.8S ribosomal RNA, internal transcribed spacer 2, and large subunit ribosomal RNA
Rfam family: 5.8S ribosomal RNA (bases 1-119)
Source: RNAcentral